This 669-nucleotide ribosomal RNA is filed under the name alpha proteobacterium IMCC14845. RNAcentral's name for it is "bacterial SSU rRNA". It matches the Rfam family "Bacterial small subunit ribosomal RNA", at positions 29 to 743 of the family's 1533-position model. Lineage: Bacteria; Pseudomonadati; Pseudomonadota; Alphaproteobacteria. The record is from RNAcentral.
ACGUACGCUGGCGGCACGCCUAACACAUGCAAGUCGAACGAAGUAGCAAUACUUAGUGGCAGACGGGUGAGUAACAUGUAGGUAUCUGCCCUUUGGCCUGGAAUAACACGAGGAAACUUGUGCUAAUACCGGAUAAGUCUUUACGGAGAAAGCUUUAUGCACCAUUGGAGGAGCCUGCACUAGAUUAGUUUGUUGGUGGGGUAAUGGCCUACCAAGACUGUGAUCUAUAGCUGAUUUGAGAGGAUGAUCAGCCACAUUGGGACUGAGACACGGCCCAAACUCCUACGGGAGGCAGCAGUGGGGAAUCUUGCACAAUGGAGGAAACUCUGAUGCAGCGAUGCCGCGUGAGUGAAGAAGGCCUUUGGGUUGUAAAGCUCUUUCGUCGGGGAAGAAAAUGACUGUACCCGAAUAAGAAGGUCCGGCUAACUUCGUGCCAGCAGCCGCGGUAAUACGAAGGGACCUAGCGUAGUUCGGAUUUACUGGGCUUAAAGAGUUCGUAGGUGGUUGAAAAAGUUAGUGGUGAAAUCCCAGAGCUUAACUCUGGAACUGCCAUCAAAACUUUUCAGCUAGAGUAUGAUAGAGGAAAGCAGAAUUUCUAGUGUAGAGGUGAAAUUCGUAGAUAUUAGAAAGAAUACCAAUUGCGAAGGCAGCUUUCUGGAUCAUUACUGA